GGCUCAGGAUGAACGCUAGCUACAGGCUUAACACAUGCAAGUCGAGGGGAAACGACAUCGAAAGCUUGCUUUUGAUGGGCGUCGACCGGCGCACGGGUGAGUAACGCGUAUCCAACCUGCCUGUCACUCAGGAAUAGCCCCGGUGAAAACCGGGAUUAAGUCCUGAUGAUAUCAUUAGAGGGCAUCUGACGAUGAUUAAAGGUUACGGUGACAGAUGGGGAUGCGUCUGAUUAGCUUGUUGGCGGGGUAACGGCCCACCAAGGCAACGAUCAGUAGGGGUUCUGAGAGGAAGGUCCCCCACAUUGGAACUGAGACACGGUCCAAACUCCUACGGGAGGCAGCAGUGAGGAAUAUUGGUCAAUGGGCGAGAGCCUGAACCAGCCAAGUAGCGUGCAGGAUGACGGCCCUAUGGGUUGUAAACUGCUUUUAUAAGGGAACAAAGUGAGUCUCGUGAGACUUUUUGCAUGUACCUUAUGAAUAAGGACCGGCUAAUUCCGUG
This 499-nucleotide ribosomal RNA is filed under the name uncultured bacterium. Its description in RNAcentral is "bacterial SSU rRNA". It matches the Rfam family "Bacterial small subunit ribosomal RNA", at positions 21 to 507 of the family's 1533-position model. The record is from RNAcentral.